RNAcentral lists this long non-coding RNA (309 nucleotides) under Ananas comosus (pineapple). RNAcentral's name for it is "long non-coding RNA (ACOM_LNC004431)". The record is from RNAcentral. Lineage: Eukaryota; Viridiplantae; Streptophyta; Magnoliopsida; Poales; Bromeliaceae.
UCGGGACGAAGAUCUCCAACGAUCUCGCGCGUCUACUCCGAGGAGCGUGUAACCUAUUCCCCGAGCAAGUAGGGCACAUACUGCGAUCGCUCCNUUCGACGGAUCCCUCGGGACGAAGAUCUCCAACGAUCUCGCGCGUCUACUCCGAGGAGCGUGUAACCUAUUCCCCGAGCAAGUAGGGCACAUACUGCGAUCGCUCCGGGCGAAGACGAUCGCGCCGCUGCUCCGCGUCGCCAUCGCCGCGUGCUUGAUCAUGUCGGUGAUGCUCCUGAUCGAGGCCGUCUCCAUGGCCGCCGUUAGCCUCGCCGU